This 728-nucleotide ribosomal RNA is filed under the name bacterium. RNAcentral describes it as "bacterial SSU rRNA". It matches the Rfam family "Bacterial small subunit ribosomal RNA", at positions 71 to 813 of the family's 1533-position model. The record is from RNAcentral.
GAACCCACUUCGGUGGGGGAUUAGUGGCGAACGGGUGAGUAACACGUGGGCAAUCUGCCCUGCACUCUGGGACAAGCCCUGGAAACGGGGUCUAAUACCGGAUACGACCACUUCAGGCAUCUGAUGGUGGUGGAAAGCUCCGGCGGUGCAGGAUGAGCCCGCGGCCUAUCAGCUUGUUGGUGAGGUAACGGCUCACCAAGGCGACGACGGGUAGCCGGCCUGAGAGGGCGACCGGCCACACUGGGACUGAGACACGGCCCAGACUCCUACGGGAGGCAGCAGUGGGGAAUAUUGCACAAUGGGCGAAAGCCUGAUGCAGCGACGCCGCGUGAGGGAUGACGGCCUUCGGGUUGUAAACCUCUUUCAGCAGGGAAGAAGCGAAAGUGACGGUACCUGCAGAAGAAGCGCCGGCUAACUACGUGCCAGCAGCCGCGGUAAUACGUAGGGCGCAAGCGUUGUCCGGAAUUAUUGGGCGUAAAGAGCUCGUAGGCGGCUUGUCGCGUCGGAUGUGAAAGCCCGGGGCUUAACCCCGGGUCUGCAUUCGAUACGGGCAGGCUAGAGUUCGGUAGGGGAGAUCGGAAUUCCUGGUGUAGCGGUGAAAUGCGCAGAUAUCAGGAGGAACACCGGUGGCGAAGGCGGAUCUCUGGGCCGAUACUGACGCUGAGGAGCGAAAGCGUGGGGAGCGAACAGGAUUAGAUACCCUGGUAGUCCACGCCGUAAACGUUGGG